UGGGGUGUGGCUUAGUGGUAAAGCGCUUGCCUAGCAUGUGUGAGGCACUGGGUUCGAUUCUCAGCACCACAU
Molecule: transfer RNA, 72 nt
Filed under: Ictidomys tridecemlineatus (thirteen-lined ground squirrel)
Lineage: Eukaryota; Metazoa; Chordata; Mammalia; Rodentia; Sciuridae
Description: Spermophilus tridecemlineatus (thirteen-lined ground squirrel) tRNA
Rfam family: tRNA
About the family: Transfer RNA (tRNA) molecules are approximately 80 nucleotides in length. Their secondary structure includes four short double-helical elements and three loops (D, anti-codon, and T loops).
Source: Rfam by way of RNAcentral